RNAcentral lists this transfer RNA (74 nucleotides) under Deltaproteobacteria bacterium RBG_16_58_17. Its description in RNAcentral is "tRNA-Ser". Lineage: Bacteria; Deltaproteobacteria. RNAcentral also lists the same sequence under 2 other names. The record is from RNAcentral.
GCCCCCGUAGCUCAAUCGGAUAGAGCACCAUCCUACUAAGUUGGCUGUUUCGAGUUCGAACCUCGACGGGGGCA